GCCACGGUGGUCUAGCGGUUAGAACGCUGGCCUUGUAAUCCUGGGGUCUCGGGUUCGAUUCCCAGCGGUGCCC
Zootermopsis nevadensis is the source of this 73-nucleotide non-coding RNA. Lineage: Eukaryota; Metazoa; Arthropoda; Insecta; Blattodea; Termopsidae. The record is from Rfam.